This 74-nucleotide transfer RNA is filed under the name Marmota monax (woodchuck). Its description in RNAcentral is "tRNA.Ala". The record is from RNAcentral. Lineage: Eukaryota; Metazoa; Chordata; Mammalia; Rodentia; Sciuridae.
GGGGUUGUGACUCAGUGGUAGAGAGCCUGCCUAGCAUGCAUGAGCACUGGGUUUGUUCAAUCCCCAGCACCACA